This 234-nucleotide signal recognition particle RNA is filed under the name uncultured Catonella sp. Its description in RNAcentral is "Bacterial large signal recognition particle RNA". It matches the Rfam family "Bacterial large signal recognition particle RNA", at positions 8 to 234 of the family's 256-position model. From Rfam's summary of the family: The signal recognition particle (SRP) is a universally conserved ribonucleoprotein involved in the co-translational targeting of proteins to membranes. The record is from RNAcentral. Lineage: Bacteria; Bacillati; Bacillota; Clostridia; Lachnospirales; Lachnospiraceae.
AGCCGGGGAGAUAGCGGUGCCCUGCAUCUGCAAUCCGCUUUAGCAGAGGUGAUGCCCGACCGCGGAGUGGUCUUUGCGAAGCCGCCCUGUGUUUGUUUGAUGUUGAAGUCCGGGUCCCGCGCAAUGAGGCCCCCCGAACCGUGUCAGGUCAGGAAUGAAGCAGCACUAAGAGGAAUGUUUCAUGUGCCGCGGGGUUACCUUGGCUGAGUCAAACGCUCAGGUACCGUUCGUGAA